AUUUGUUAUUAGGUAAUCAAAAUUUAUUAUGUAUGUACUUACAUGAGUUUAAAAAUGAAUUAAUAUGAGUACUAAGUUGGUUUCUCACCUCCAAUUCAUGGAAAUGAAACAAUUUUUUCAAAUAAGUAAGUAAGAGAAAAAUUAAAUUAGUGAAUAAUUUGUCAAUGCAGAAUUAAUUUCAGUUGAGUGUUGUCACUGAAAUCUGUUGGUUAUUUUUACCUAUUCACUUGACUGUAAGUAUGUAUUCUAAUUACAUAUCAAAAAAAGUAUAAAAUGCUGAUUGAAAGAAAUCUGUACAAAUUUGUAUUGUUGAAAAGUAGAUAUAGAUAGUUUUCCAUAUCUAUGAAAAUUACAUUUCUUAUCAGGAUUAAACUAAAUCAUUCCGUGUGAAUAUUAUUUUUAUAAUGAUGGUGAUCCUGAUGGUUUAUUUAUUUGAAAUCACUCACCUUCACUUGCAUAAUAUCCAAGAUGAAACUUGUAAUCACUUUUUCUUUACACUAGGUAAUCAAAUUUCAAAACCCAUACAAUAUGUACAGGGUGCCCAGAAAUAUCGAGUACCCCUAAAAAAGUUUUCUACCAAAAUACUUUGGUUGGUCACAGUGAAUGAUAAUAAUGAUAGCACAUGAUUGGUUGUUGGACUGGAGAGAUAACAUUCCACCAAUCAUAUGCAUCUAUUUCACAUUGCCAAACUAUUUUUUUAAUGAAACACUUUCUUUGGGGUAGGUACUCGAUAUUUCUGGGCACCCUGUAUAUGAAUAGAUAGGAGAAUAAAUUCCAUUCACCUAGUAGGUACCUAACAUCAAAUUUGAAUAAAAACACUUGGUCAGAAUCAAGCUAAGUAGGUAAAUAUUUUUAAAUAGGUAGGUAACUACAUAAUCUUCUCCUAGAUUUAUUAGUUACAUGAGUUUAAAAAGUAAUCAGCAAGAGACCAUUUAAAAAAUUCAUAAUCAAGUAUUUGUUUCAAAAAAUAGGGAAAAUAUAAAUAAAAUACGGUUUGAAUAAAAACAUUGCACAGUAAAAUUACAAAUUGAAAAAAAUUCAAAAAAUUACUUAGGUACUCCUCACAUUGGGAUGAACCCUGGAGUUUUGUAAUGAAGUUUCCAUGAACCACAAAGCAUAAACCAAAUUCUUGUCCAUACUCGUUCUCAAUCAACUCAGUUCAUAAGUUUAAGAGGUUGGACCAGAUUUUUAAGGAAAAAAGAAGUUUCCAUUGCACACAAUUUUAAAAUAAAAAUUUGUUGUUUGGUAAAUGUAAUAGUGGAUCUCAAAAUGUACUCUGUACUCACAUGAGUAUGAAAAUGAAUUUGAUAUGAGUAAACUUCAUUUUCAUCUGAAUUCAGUUUCAAGGAAAUGAAACAAUUUUUUCAAAUAUAAAGAGAAAAUAAAAUUAGGUAUUGAAUACUUACUUAAUUUGUCAAUGCAGAAUUAUUUUUUAGUUGAGUUCUCUGAACUCUGUUGGUUGUGUUUACCUAAACACUCGAUUAAGUACAUUACCUAUAUUGAAAAAAAGAUGUUUAAAAUUUGGAUUGAAAAAAUUUGUACAAAUUCAUAUUAUUAAAAAGCAAGUAUUAUUAGUUUUCUAAAUGAAAAUGACAUUUUUAUUUUCUUGUUACAAUCAAACUAAAUAAAAUAAUUUUGUGUGAAUAUUUUUUUCCCUGAUGGUAAUACUGAUAGUAUGUGUAUACUUAUUAUUUGAAAUCACUUACCUUCACUAGCAUAAUAUCCUAGGUAAAACUUAUAAUUACUUAUCCUUUGCACCAGGUUAUCAAAUUUCAAACACACAAUAUAUAAACAGAUAGGAGAAUACAUUCCAUUCAUCUAGUAACAUCAAAUUUCAAUAAAAACACUGCCACAAUCAAGCAAAGCAAUCUAGUUUCAUGGUAGAUAACACUCUACAUUGAAUGCAAAUCAAGUUCAAUCAACUGGUAAUCAAAAGAAAGAGAGAGAGAGUGUGUGAGUGCUAAAAACAAGUUCAACACAGUCUGCACCUCUGCCAAUAUGCUUUGAGCUAUCUAGCUGGUCAUCUUCUACACCAGGGUAGAUAAAUCAGGUGCUUUUUGGAACAAAAUCGACAGUUAAAAACAGGAUGCAAAGUAAAACACCCAUUUAAUCCUUAACAAUUGCAUGUUAGCAUAAGUUUGUCACUCAAAACAGGAUGCAUUAUAGCAUAAUUUACAAGUACCUCGCAUUCGUGUAAAAUAAGUUGCCUAUUGAGUCUGAUGCGUAUGCGCAGUGUAGGAUUCAGUUUCAAUACAUUUUCAAAGUUUACUUGUGCUCACAUACCAGCAAUAUCAUUUGCAUAAAAUGCAAAUCUCUGUCCUACCAUAACACUGUUUAUUUACACAGUUACCUUUUUACCAUGACCAUGACCACCGUCGAGUGUCUACGUAUCUGUAGUUUUGAUGUAAGUAAGAUAAUUUAUUCAUACAGACACACGUUUUAAUAAAGAAGGGAAGGAGAGUAUGUAAUUGAAAAACAAACAAGAUAAAUAUUUCAAUCAAGUAGUUUAAUAUUUUUUACAUACAUACAUACUUAGUAUAUGUGUACAUAUUACAAUAAGUGUAGAUAGGUGAUUAAUACAUAAUGUAUUUUCAAUUUUGAAGUGAAGUGAAAUAAGUACAUUUAUCCAAUGUGUGUGUUGAUUUUUUUUCAAAUUAUUCAGUUAAAUCUAUGUGAGCGGCAAUUCUUCCCUAUUGACAUACCUGAUCAAAUUUCUUGUGGAAACGUCUUUUAUAAAAGACCUGAUUACAUUGAGUACAUUCCGGAUUUUGAAUGUUCGCCACAGUUGUAAUUGUAUUAGUAUUGAUGGUAUUGGAGGUGGUAGCUCCAGAGUUGGCUGGUUCUUCAACAGUGACAGUGGUAGUUGUGGGUACAGUUAGCAUAGUCUUUAAUAAAUGUCUUGAUUGAGGUCCUGGAAUAUUCGAGGAGGAGGAGGAGGAGGAAGUUGUCGGCUCAGCAUUGAACUUCAAAUCAUUGAGCCACUUCUUAAACUUCUGCACAUGAUUUUUGGUACACGCAUAAUAUGCUUGAGCAGUGUUACUAGGUUUGUGUGCAUCAAUUACUAAGCAUUUUUCGAAGUCAACGUUCUCAGGCAGUUCCUUAGCCCUAGGACAGAUAGGACUCAAGUCCACAAUGAUGUUCUUACCCAGCAACCACUCCAGAGCAUAUUUUUUUGGGCUCCUUUCUCAUAUACUUUAGUGGUGUUUGCAGUCAUUUUUUUAAGUAGGUGAACAGCAAGAUCCAAAGUCCAGACUCCCUCAUUCCAUGCGAUUCUGUGAAGGUUGUCCUUUAACCACAAGUUAUAAAAUUAUGCAUUUUUGUCCAAUUUUUCGAAUUCAUAGGGUGAUAAAAUUGUUAGGUUAGUUACAGUCUCUUCAGGGUUUCUAGAUACAAUUGCAAUUUCUUUGAUUAUAAAAUUGGCAUGAUUGUCACGAAAUGUCUACAUAUAAAAAAAAAAAAAAAAAAAAAAAAAAAACAGAUUGAAAUAUUUAGUAGCUGAUAGCAAUUUGUAUGUACCUACGUAGUUAUUGAAAUAUUUAGUAGCUGAUAGCAAUUUGUAUGUACCUACGUAGUUAUGUUUUAAUUAAAAAUUACCAACCUGCAUAUCCAGGAUAAAUUCCCUCUGCAGGACACUUGUAGGUGGCACAAAUAUUCUGGGCUUUGUUACUGGUCUGCUGUAUGGAAGUAUUGAUGAAUUGACAGAUGAACCAAAGCCUCUGGACCCUCUUUCAGUAGGCGGCAAUUUCUAUUUCAAAAAAACAUUAAAAAUUUCAAUUUUUUAAAAAUGGGUAGGUAGGUACUUAUUUUGUUAAUUUAUGAAAUAGAUAAAUCAAGUUGAACUUACAAUUGCCUGACAUAAUGUCAGAUGAUAAAUCCGUUCAACAAUGAGCUGCGCUAUUUUAUCUCCCUUAUGGAAGGUAAGCAAUUGAUUGGAAAAAUUAAACAUUAUUACACAGACAUUACCUCAAAAAUCUGCAUCAAUUACACCUCCUGUGUAAAAAACAAAAUUGAUUUCUCAGAUUUUCACGACAAUUUUUUUUGAAUUUUAGUGAAUUGGUGAAAAAUUGUAGGGAAAAAAUUUAAGAUUAAAAAAAAAACUUGAACAACUCCAUAGGUAGGUAUGUACUUUUUGUUAAUGUGAAUCGACACACAAAUUAAGAGCGAAUGGGUGGGUCCUGACUCGAGUAUAUUUUUUCCAAAUAUUUCAAAUGAUUCAUCCUCAUAUAAAAUUCUCUGAUGAAAAACUUGACGUGAGUCUAAUUUUUUGUGAGCACGCAAUUAGGUUGUUGUCAACUAAUUUUCACUUUUCCUUCCUCAUCUUUUUCUUACCAUGAAAAAAAAACAUACCAUAGGUAUUUUAUCAUUUUCAUACACCUUUGAAAUAGGUAAUGUAAAGGAAAAUUUCAUCUUGUGGUGAAUAUCUUCCUUUAAAGGUUACUUGGUGCGCUUUUUCAUAUCCAAACAGUUUACGUGUAAAAUUAUUAGAAAACACAUAUGCUUUUUUUGUGCCACAUCCACGUCGUCUUCUUACAGUACUUGUAUUUAAAUUUGAAAAUGUUUCCGAAAUAAUUGUCAACGUGCUUGUAAAAUUGGAUGGAUCAAGAGUUAACAAUGUGGAGGAAGAACUUGAAUAAAUUGGGGUAGUGGUGAUUUCACUGGUGGUGUUGACGACAGGUAAAAAUGUUGAUGACAAUGACGUUGAUUUUUCAGGUAUUGAAAUUUCAGAGUUGAAACGAGUAUAAUUGCUGGUGCUGUUGGUGACAGUAGAGGUUGCGGGGGAGGUGGUAGUGGUGAUAAUAGUAACAAUAUUCAUUCUUUCAGACAUUGAUAAGGGUUGAAUUGAUUUGGUAGAUUGAUCUGUGCUGGUUUUCAGUGUUGAAAAGUUUGAUUUUUCAUAAAUUAUAUCUUGGUUUGGUAUUUCUAGAAUAAAUUUUGAAAUCAGGAGCACAUUCAAAAGAGUGAAACUGUAGACACUCGGCGGUGGUCAUGGUCAUGGUAAAAAGGUAACUGGGUAAAUAAACAAUGUUAUGGUAGGACAGAGAUUUGCAUUUUAUGCAAAUGAUAUUGCUGGUAUGUGAGCACAAGUAAACUUUGAAAAUGUAUUGAAACUGAAUCCUACACUGCGCCUACGCAUCAGACGCGAUAGGCAACUUAUUUUACACGAAUGCGAGGUACAUGUAAAUUGUGCUAUAAUGCAUCCUGUUUCGAGUGACAAAUUUAUGCUAACAUGCAAUUGUUAAGGAUUAAAUGGGUGUUUUACUUUGCAUCCUGUUUUAAACUGUCGAUAUUGUUCCAAAAAACGCCUGAUGUAUCUACUCACUGGUGUUUGUGUGCAAACUAUUCGCAAUGCAUUAUUUAUGUGCCUUCCUAGUCACUUAUCAAUGUAUGUGGCCUGUGCCAAUUCACGUUUUGUGCCAAAAACUGUAAAAUAUGACAACCCCUGUGUUCUAUGCCUAUUCCUCAGAUGAAAAUCCCACAUAAUGAUAGAAAAUGUCUAAGAGUUUCUAAUCUUCACUUCACCACUAGUAUAAUAUGUAAUCAGUUGUGCUGUCUAUGAUGCUACAUAAAUGUAGGCACCUGUAAUAAAACAGUUUUGUCAUUAUUAAUUUUAUAUCUCAGAGGUUGCAUUACAGCUUUUCUGAUGAAGAUAGAGUGGGGAUAUAGGGAGCCUGACUUUUCCUUGUAUUGUGACAGAGAUUUCGUAAAAAAAAAGGUCCAUUAAAGCAGAGGCUUCUAAAAAUUAUUUUUAUAUGUAUUAUUUUAUAUUUUUGUUUUGUUAUUUUCUAAGUUUGCUUUUUUUCCAGAAAUCGUAUUUUUUCUUCAAGUUUAGAAUUUUUGAUUAACUAUAUUUAAAGACUUUAUGUUUGUAAUAAAAAUAAAUAGUUAUUGAAUAUUUAA
Molecule: long non-coding RNA, 5898 nt
Organism: Planococcus citri (citrus mealybug)
Lineage: Eukaryota; Metazoa; Arthropoda; Insecta; Hemiptera; Pseudococcidae
Exons: 2
Source: RefSeq, a predicted model, not a curated record